Camellia sinensis is the source of this 349-nucleotide non-coding RNA. The record is from RefSeq and is a predicted model, not a curated record. NCBI's taxonomy places the organism in Eukaryota, Viridiplantae, Streptophyta, Magnoliopsida, Ericales, Theaceae.
GGGACAUAUUAUCACAGGCAGUUUUAUAGAUCUUCAUUUCAACUGUUUAAACCAUGAUUCUAAACAUGACAUGGUGGUUCGAAACUUAACUUGGAAACAAGAUAAGGUCAAAGUUUUCCAUCUCAGACUAAACAUUGCCAUCUCUGCAGAACCGAGCACCGAGUCCAAGGAAACCUUUCCAUGUCUAGCAUGGAGAAUUGAUGCCAAUGAAGCUAGUUAUACACACAUAUAUAUUGCUGUAAAACCAAUUAUUCUAUGUAUCAUAAAUCUCUAGAUUUCAAUGAAGUUGUAAUGUACACAUUUAGGGAGUAUCAAUUUUAUCUGCUAGAUAUAUAUAUCAUUUUUAUCA